RNAcentral lists this ribosomal RNA (433 nucleotides) under uncultured cyanobacterium. Its description in RNAcentral is "bacterial SSU rRNA". It matches the Rfam family "Bacterial small subunit ribosomal RNA", at positions 1021 to 1453 of the family's 1533-position model. The record is from RNAcentral. Lineage: Bacteria; Bacillati; Cyanobacteriota.
CGGGAGCGCAGAGACAGGUGGUGCAUGGCUGUCGUCAGCUCGUGUCGUGAGAUGUUGGGUUAAGUCCCGCAACGAGCCGCAACCCACGUCUUUAGUUGCCAGCAUUUAGUUGGGCACUCUAGGGAGACCGCCGGUGAUAAACCGGAGGAAGGUGUGGAUGACGUCAAGUCAUCAUGCCCCUUUACAUCCUGGGCUACACACGUACUACAAUGCUACGGACAAAGGGCAGCAAACUCGCGAGAGCUAGCAAAUCCCAUAAACCGUGGCUCAGUUCAGAUCGUAGGCUGCAACUCGCCUACGUGAAGGAGGAAUCGCUAGUAAUCGCAGGUCAACAUACUGCGGUGAAUACGUUCCCGGGCCUUGUACACACCGCCCGUCACACCAUGGAAGUUGGCCAUGCCCGAAGUCGUUACUCCAACCUUGUGGAGGAGAC